UCCAUCGAGCGCGGCUUCGAAGGCAUGUAGCCGAGGGUGGUUGGGGACAACGCGCCCCCUCACCCUUCCAUUGGCUGGGCGAAGUCCCUAUAUUGGAUCUGUCCGGCUUCGGCCGAACUAUGGGGAUAAACGCGCACGUAAUAAGCGGACUGGACCCGGGUGCGAUUCCCGGCGGCUCCACCAAAUCUCUCCCGCGUUAUCACGGGACUGCAUGGGGCCGAUCAGCAUCGACAGACGUGUAAAGGUGUCUGCUUUCUCUCGGCUUGGCCCACCGUUUCGGGCC
RNAcentral lists this transfer-messenger RNA (283 nucleotides) under Caulobacter vibrioides NA1000. RNAcentral describes it as "tmRNA ssrA acceptor RNA 5' fragment". The stretch from base 62 to 283 matches the Rfam family "Alphaproteobacteria transfer-messenger RNA", at positions 1 to 219 of the family's 355-position model. Rfam says of the family: Bacterial tmRNA, also known as 10Sa RNA or SsrA, is named for its dual tRNA and mRNA-like properties. Its role is to liberate the mRNA from a stalled ribosome. To accomplish this part of the tmRNA is used as a reading frame that ends in a translation stop signal. Lineage: Bacteria; Pseudomonadati; Pseudomonadota; Alphaproteobacteria; Caulobacterales; Caulobacteraceae. The record is from RNAcentral.